Molecule: ribosomal RNA, 1592 nt
Filed under: metagenome
Description: bacterial LSU rRNA
Rfam family: Bacterial large subunit ribosomal RNA
Source: RNAcentral
AGAAACAGUAGCGUGAGCGGCUGUGGAGUGUAUAGAAGUGAGAAUGCCGGAAUGAGUAGCGCGAAUGCAGUGAGAAUCUGCAUGGCCGAAAGCCUCAGGUUUUUGGAGGAAGGUUCGUCCGCUCCAAGUUAGUCGGGAGCUAAGGUGAGGCCGGAAGGCGUAGCCGAUGCACAGACGGUAGAGAUUCCGUCACCACCAAAAGAGUUAAGCACAGGGACACAUUUGAAGUCUCAGAGCCGGGUGUUGGUUCCGGUAGAGAUCGAGGGAAGUUAGUACCGAAGUCUGAGAUGGAAGAUGGCGAGAAAAGCUGUGUGUAUUUCUGAGGUGCCCGUACCGCAAACCGACACAGGUAGGUAGGAAGAAGAUUCUAAGGCCAACGGGAGAAGGGUUGUUAAGGAACUCGGCAAAUUGACCCCGUAACUUCGGGAGAAGGGGUGCUCCAGAGAUGGAGCCGCAGAGAAUCGGCCCAAGCAACUGUUUACCAAAAACACAGGUUUGUGCUAAAUCGAAAGAUGACGUAUACGAGCUGACGCCUGCCCGGUGCUGGAAGGUUAAGAGGAGAUGUGCAAGCAUUGAAUCGAAGCCCCAGUGAACGGCGGCCGUAACGAUAACGGUCCUAAGGUAGCGAAAUUCCUUGUCAGGUAAGUUCUGACCCGCAUGAAAGGCGUAAUGAUUUGGGCACUGUCUCAACAGCCCGCCCGGCGAAAUUGUAGUACCGGUGAAGAUGCCGGUACCCGCGACAAGACGGAAAGACCCCAUGGAGCUUUACUGUAGCCUAAUAUUGGGUUUCGAUGUUGCAUGCACAGGAUAGAUGGGACACUAGGAAACAAUCGCUUUGGCGGUUGCGGAGUGGCCGUUGGGAUACCAUCCUUGCGAUAUUGGAAUUCUAACCUGCGGCUCUGAAUCGAGUCGGGGGACAUUGUUAGGUGGGCAGUUUGACUGGGGCGGUCGCCUCCUAAAAAGUAACGGAGGCGUUCAAAGGUUCGCUCAGCUUGAACGGAAAUCAAGCAAAAAAGUGCAAACGCAGAAGCGUGCCUAACUGCGAGACUGACGGGUCGAGCAGUAACGAAAGUUGGAGUUAGUGAUCCGGUGGUAUGUGAGUGGAAAUGCCAUCGCUCAACGGAUAAAAGUUACCCUGGGGAUAACAGGCUGAUCUCCCCCAAGAGUCCACAUCGACGGGGAGGUUUGGCACCUCGAUGUCGGCUCAUCGCAUCCUGGGGCUGUAUUCGGUCCCAAGGGUUUGGCUGUUCGCCAAUUAAAGCGGUACGCGAGCUGGGUUCAGAACGUCGUGAGACAGUUCGGUCCCUAUCUGUCGUGGGCGCAGGAUAUUUGAUGGGAGCUGUCCCUAGUACGAGAGGACCGGGACGGACGUACCUCUGGCGCACCAGUUGUUCCGCCAGGAGCAUAGCUGGGCAACUACGUACGGAUCGGAUAAACGCUGAAAGCAUCUAAGCGUGAAGCCGACCCAAAGAUAAGAUGUCCCAUUGUUUUAAACAAGUAAGACCCCUUGAAGACUACAAGGUUGAUAGGCACGAUGUGUAAGUGGAGUGAUCCAUUCAGCAAGCGUGUACUAAUAGGUCGAGGGCUUGACC